GGCUUCUGCAUCUUGCUUCCAGCGUGAACAGACAGCAGUCAUCACACUGUAAUAAUUUUCUCCCGCUUCACCUGUGGUCUCUAUGAAUAACAGAGUGGGGGGAAAAAAAGAAGAAGGAGAAGAUGAAUUUGGCUUAGUGUCUGAUGAUCAUGCUGGCAAGGAAUUUAUCUCUGUCUAGUGCUUUUGUGGCAUUCUGGACUGAAUAGAAAAAAUGGCACAAUUUCGUAUGGGGACUCUGAAGAAAACUAGUGAAGCUUUUUCAAUGUUUCC
Alligator sinensis (Chinese alligator) is the source of this 270-nucleotide long non-coding RNA. RefSeq lists it as uncharacterized. The record is from RefSeq and is a predicted model, not a curated record. The transcript has 3 exons. NCBI's taxonomy places the organism in Eukaryota, Metazoa, Chordata, Crocodylia, Alligatoridae.